Molecule: ribosomal RNA, 250 nt
Filed under: uncultured prokaryote
Description: partial 16S ribosomal RNA
Rfam family: Bacterial small subunit ribosomal RNA
Source: RNAcentral
UACGGAGGAUCCGAGCGUUAUCCGGAUUUAUUGGGUUUAAAGGGUGCGUAGGCGGGCCAUUAAGUCAGCGGUGAAAGUUUGCGGCUCAACCGUAAAAUUGCCGUUGAAACUGGAGGUCUGGAGUGCGAGCGAGGCAGGCGGAAUGUGAUGUGUAGCGGUGAAAUGCUUAGAUAUGUCACAGAACACCGAUUGCGAAGGCAGCCUGCUAGGACGCUACUGACGCUGAGGCACGAAAGCGUGGGGAUCGAAC